Pelobates cultripes (western spadefoot toad) is the source of this 239-nucleotide non-coding RNA. The record is from the annotation of a GenBank genome assembly. NCBI's taxonomy places the organism in Eukaryota, Metazoa, Chordata, Amphibia, Anura, Pelobatidae.
CUAGCAUCAACGUGAAUGUGAAGAGGACGUGCACCAUCAACAAUGACAUUAGGACGUGCGGAUUGCCACAAUAAUUACAAACAUUGAGCAGUGUAUUGCAGUCAUACACAGAUAACCUUACCUGCACUAUGUGGUCAAUUUACUUUCACAUGUACUUUAAUUGUACACAAUAAAUUACUUUCCUGUACUGCUAUUCUUUGCUCAUAAAAUGCAGUGCAAAUGAUUUAUUGGCUUUUUAC